AGUGAACGCUGGCGGUAGGCCUAACACAUGCAAGUCGAACGGCAACACAGUAAGAGCUUGCUCUUACGGGUGGCGGAUGGCGGACGGGUGAGGAAUACAUCGGACUCUACUUUUUCGUGGGGGAUAACGUAGGGAAACUUAAGCUAAUACAGCAUACGACCUACGGGUGAAAGCAGGGGAUCGUCGGACCUUGCGGGGUUGGAUGAGCGGCUGUCGGGUUAGCUGGUUGGGUGGGUAAAGGCCCACCAAGGCGACGAUCCGUAGCUGGUCUGAGAGGAUGAUAAGCGACAUUGGAACUGAGCCAGGGACAAGACUACUACGGGAGGCAGCAGAGGGGAAUAUGGGACAGCGGUGGGAAGCCUUAUCCAGCCAGAGCGAGUGUGUGAAGAAGGCGUUGCGUUUGUAAAGCCCUUUUUUUGGGAAAGAAAAGCAGCAGGCUAAUACCCCGCGGUUCUGACGGUACCCAAUGAAUAAGCACCGGCUAACUUCGUG
Molecule: ribosomal RNA, 492 nt
Filed under: uncultured bacterium
Lineage: Bacteria
Description: partial 16S ribosomal RNA
Rfam family: Bacterial small subunit ribosomal RNA
Source: RNAcentral